This is a long non-coding RNA of Anthonomus grandis grandis, 1226 nucleotides long. RefSeq lists it as uncharacterized. The record is from RefSeq and is a predicted model, not a curated record. Lineage: Eukaryota; Metazoa; Arthropoda; Insecta; Coleoptera; Curculionidae. The transcript has 3 exons.
CAAACCCCUGCUAUUGCUAAUGUCAUUGUAGUCCAAAAUGUUAAUACUGUAGCGGAACGACCUCUACUUUGCUAUAGUUUGUUCUAUUAGAAUAUCGGGCGUCUUAAAUAUUUUCUUUAUUUGUGGAAAUGUAUGACAUUCUUUAAACCCUACAUUUCUGCUCGGAGUAUUCUUAUGAUUAUUACUUCGUUUGUCACCAUUUAAUAAAGAAGUGUGGCGCCUUUGACUCCGUGAUUCCGUUAAAGGGUUUUAAUCCGGGUCAGUGCUUUUAUUAUUAAAACGUGUUAAAACUAAGCCCGUAACUGAGGUGAAUAAACUGAGAUUUCCCGACAUUAGUGGUUUUUUUGACCUACGAACCCCCGGGACUAAAAAUCCCAUUACAACUUGGCUGCCCAACUGGGACAAAGAAUCCACGUCUAUGGGUAAUCCACGACCUCCAGUAGUUCAUUCACCGAGGAACUUAAGAUCUCGAAGACCAUCAAACAUGGAUGGAUCUAGGAACUUUUUAAUCGAAGAGAGGAAUACGACAGGACCAUUACCGACAGUCGCUUCGGGGGCGAGUCCAGAAGAGAACGCAUCUACAGGAGCAGGCCAAAUAAACACCUCUACGAGAGCGAGUGCGGAAACGGGCGCAAUCCGUAGAAAUAAUGGACAAACAGCCGCAGCAAGAGGGUUGCCGCCAUACCCGGAACCCCCAGGAACACCGAUUAUAGCGUCUGCUACAGCGCUUAUUGAUACGGGAUCAGAAUGUUCGUGUUUAUCUGGAGAAGUUUACGAACAACUCGGAAAUCUGCAAAAUCAAAUACCAUCUUUUUCAGUAACGGGUGUAAAGAUGACUGGGGCUUUUAAAAGUAAUGAAAAGCGGGUAACUCAGCAAUUACUUGUGGAAUUUUUAGUUUUGGAUAAGUACAUGUUUAUUCAUGAAUUUUUACUAAUUUCAAAUUUAUUAUAUCCUAUUAUUUUGGGUGCAGAUUUUUUACGUAUAGUAAACGCUAAAAUAAACUUAAAAGAUAAUUUAAUUUCGGUGUAUAUUGAUAAACAAGAGAUUAACAUUCCAGAGAUAAACGUUCAACACGAGUAUGAAGUGCCAAGAGAAUUGUUAAAUAUUCGACCGGUCGCUGUACGCAAAAAUAGUUUUAAAGAUAACAAUGUUGUUAUUAGUGAAAGAAACAUUUCUUUCAAUACCGAGUUCAUAGAUUCUUUGAAUUAUCUUUUCGACACACAAA